GGGGCCUUAAUGGUUUCGACGUGUUGGUGAAAGCCAACCCGUGAUACAGGUCGAGAGUGAGUCUUCUCUCGUAAAUCCCGGACUCAAACAAAAGUAACUGCGAACAACAUCGUUCCUUUUGCUCGUAAGGCAGCUCCUGUAGCCGCUUAAACACCUCUUAUAGGUUCGAGCGUUCUUAGUCUGACUCCGUUAAGGGCUAAGGACACAACCCCAACGGAUGCGCUAGUUAGCUGUCUUUGGUCGGCUGGUUAGCAAAGACCUAACCAAAGCAUCCCACCAUCCGGGAUAAUGGAUGGUUCCCGCCCUGAGGAUGAGAAGGGCUAAACCUGUGAAUGAUCGGUAGGUAAAUACCCAAUGCGGACACGGGUUCAAUUCCCGUAGGCUCCAUUC
Molecule: transfer-messenger RNA, 390 nt
Filed under: Coleofasciculus chthonoplastes
Lineage: Bacteria; Bacillati; Cyanobacteriota; Cyanophyceae; Coleofasciculales; Coleofasciculaceae
Also listed under: 1 other name
Description: Standard tmRNA
Rfam family: transfer-messenger RNA
About the family: Bacterial tmRNA, also known as 10Sa RNA or SsrA, is named for its dual tRNA and mRNA-like properties.
Source: RNAcentral